Nomascus leucogenys (northern white-cheeked gibbon) is the source of this 148-nucleotide non-coding RNA. It matches the Rfam family "Metazoan signal recognition particle RNA". Rfam says of the family: The signal recognition particle (SRP) is a universally conserved ribonucleoprotein. It is involved in the co-translational targeting of proteins to membranes. Lineage: Eukaryota; Metazoa; Chordata; Mammalia; Primates; Hylobatidae. The record is from Rfam.
GCCGGGCGUCGUGGCGGGCGCCUGUAGUCUCAGCUACUUGGGAGGCUGAGGCGGGAGAAUUGCUUGAACCCGGGAGGCGGACGUUGCAGUGAGCAGAGAUCGCGCCACUGCACUCCAGCCUGGGUGACAGAGCGAGACUCUGUCUCAU